AUUCCAGCUCCAAUAGCGUAUAUUAAAGUUGAUGCGGUUAAAAAGCUCGUAGUUGGAGUUCUGCCAGGUGACGCUCGUCCGCCCAAGUGGUGUGUACAGGGCGUGCAUCUGGCCCUUUCAAGGGGAACGUGUCUGCUCUUUAUUGAGUGGUGCGAGAUCCCUGACUUUUACUUUGAGGAAAUCAGAGUGUUUAAAGCAGGCUUAUGCCGUUGAAUACAUUAGCAUGGAAUAAUAAGAUAGGACUUUGGCGUCUAUUUUAUUGGUUUGCACACCAAGGUAAUGAUUAAUAGGGAUAGUUGGGGGUAUUCGUAUUUAAUUGUCAGAGGUGAAAUUCUUGGAUUUAUGAAAGACGAACUACUGCGAAAGCACUUACCAAGGAUGUUUUCAUUG
This 390-nucleotide ribosomal RNA is filed under the name Stramenopiles sp. RNAcentral describes it as "partial small subunit ribosomal RNA". It matches the Rfam family "Eukaryotic small subunit ribosomal RNA", at positions 582 to 975 of the family's 1831-position model. The record is from RNAcentral.